GAUGAAGAACGUAGUGAAAUGCGAUACUUGGUGUGAAUUGCAGAAUCCCGUGAACCAUCGAGUCUUUGAACGCAAGUUGCGCCAGAAGCCAAUAGGCCGAGGGCACGCCUGCCUGGGCGUCACACGUCGUUGCCCCCCCAUCUACUCCUUCGGGAUUGCGGGGGGCGGAUGAUGGCCUCUCGUGCGCCUCGUCGCGCGGUUGGCCUAAAUGCCAAGUCCUCGGCGACGCACGCCACGACAAUCGGUGGUUGCGAAACCUCGGUUGCCUGUCGUGUGCGGUCGUCGUGCAUCGAGGGCUCGAAAAAAUUGCCGGGCUUCGGCUCGACUUUCAACGCGACCCCAGGUCAGGCGGGGUUACCCGCUGAAUUUAAGCAUAUCAAUAAGCGGAGGA
RNAcentral lists this unclassified non-coding RNA (391 nucleotides) under soil metagenome. RNAcentral describes it as "partial contains 5.8S ribosomal RNA, internal transcribed spacer 2, and large subunit ribosomal RNA". The stretch from base 1 to 122 matches the Rfam family "5.8S ribosomal RNA", at positions 35 to 154 of the family's 154-position model. The record is from RNAcentral.